GUACGAUGUGCUCUCGUAGAGUCGGGCUGCUUGGGAGUGCAGCUGAAGCGGGUGGUAAAUUCCAUCUAAAGCUAAAUACUGGCGGGAGACCGAUAGCGAACAAGUACCGUGAGGGAAAGAUGCAAAGAACUUUGAAAAGAGAGUUAAAGAGUGCUUGAAAUUGGCAGGAGGAAACCCGGUUGCGCGUGGCAUUUGGCGUGGUCGACUCAGCCGCGCGCGGAGAUCUGUAGGGGACCUAACGGCCUCGUGGUCAGCGCGCGCGGUGCACUUCGGCCGCGUCGGUCAGCCGCGUUUCUGUGCGGCCCAGACGGCCGCGGGCAGGGCUUCGGCGCAGCCUGCGGUUUGGGGGUCGCGCGGGAUCUCGGCUGAUGCGCACGGGCGCAACCGACCCGUCUAGAAACACGGACCAAGGAGUCUGACGCGUGUGCGAGUACUAGAGUGGCAAGCUCGAGUGCGCAAUGAAAGUGAAGGGCGUGCCCCGUCAACCGAUCUUGAUCUUCUGUGAAGGGUUUGAGUGGAGCACAUCUGUCGGGACCCGAAAGAUGGUGAACUAUGCCUGAGGAGGGUGAAGCCAGAGGAAACUCUGGUGGAGGCUCGUAGCGAUACUGACGUGCAAAUCGUUCGUCGAACUUGGGUAUAGGGGCGAAAGACUAAUCGAACCAUCUAGUAGCUGGUUCCCUCCGAAGUUUCCCUCAGGAUAGCUUGAACGCCGACGGUUUUGUCAGGUAAAGCGAAUGAUUAGAGGCCUUGGGGCUGAAACAGCCUUAACCUAUUCUCAAACUUUAAAUGGGCAAGAGGCGCCGGAUGCUUGACUGAUCCGGCGCG
RNAcentral lists this ribosomal RNA (825 nucleotides) under Phaeocystis sp. JD-2012. RNAcentral describes it as "eukaryotic LSU rRNA". It matches the Rfam family "Eukaryotic large subunit ribosomal RNA", at positions 244 to 1107 of the family's 3401-position model. Lineage: Eukaryota; Haptophyta; Phaeocystales; Phaeocystaceae. The record is from RNAcentral.